RNAcentral lists this ribosomal RNA (253 nucleotides) under uncultured bacterium. RNAcentral's name for it is "partial 16S ribosomal RNA". It matches the Rfam family "Bacterial small subunit ribosomal RNA", at positions 524 to 776 of the family's 1533-position model. The record is from RNAcentral.
UACGGAGGGUGCGAGCGUUGUCCGGAUUUAUUGGGUUUAAAGGGUGCGUAGGCGGUUCUUUAAGUCUGGGGUGAAAGCCCGCUGCUCAACAGCGGAACUGCCCUGGAUACUGGAGAACUUGAGUACAGACGAGGUUGGCGGAAUGGACUGUGUAGCGGUGAAAUGCAUAGAUACAGUCCAGAACCCCGAUUGCGAAGGCAGCUGACUAGGCUGUUACUGACGCUGAGGCACGAAAGCGUGGGGAGCGAACAGG